CGCCUCUUGACCACUAUAAGAGGUCUAGCCUGCCCAGUGACCAAUUUAACGGCCGCGGUACCCUAACCGUGCGAAGGUAGCAUAAUCACUUGUUUCCUAAAUAGAGACUAGCAUCAACGGCAUCACGAAGACUAUACUGUCUUCCCCCUAAAAUCAAUGAAACUAAUCCCCUCGUGAAGAAGCGAGGAUAAAAAUAUAAGACGAGAAGACCCCAUGGAGCUUUAAACGAACUUUAAUUGCUCUUAAUCUUACCAUAAAAAACGAGCACUAAUAAAAGAUAGUUUUCGGUUGGGGUGACCACGGAGUAAAACAAAACCUCCACAGUGAAUGUAAUAAUACUAAUAGAAGAACUACAAUUCUAAUAAUCAAAAAAUUGACACACUUGACCCAAACACUUGAUCAAUGAACCAAGUUACCCUGGGGAUAACAGCGCAAUCCAUUUUAAGAGCCCCUAUCGACAAAUGGGUUUACGACCUCGAUGUUGGAUCAGGGUAUCCUAGUGGUGCAGCCGCUACUAACGGUUCGUUUGUUCAACGAUUAAAAC
Molecule: ribosomal RNA, 544 nt
Filed under: Leptopelis aubryi (Gaboon forest treefrog)
Lineage: Eukaryota; Metazoa; Chordata; Amphibia; Anura; Arthroleptidae
Description: partial 16S ribosomal RNA
Rfam family: Bacterial large subunit ribosomal RNA
Source: RNAcentral